GGCGGACGGGUGAGCAACGCGUAGGAAUGUGUCCAGAGGUGGGGGACAACCCUGGGAAACCGGGGCUAAUACCGCAUGGGGGCCGAGGCCCAAAGCAGCGAUGCGCCUUUGGAGCAGCCUGCGUCCGAUUAGCUUGUUGGCGGGGUAACGGCCCACCAAGGCUCCGAUCGGUAGCUGGUCUGAGAGGACGACCAGCCACACUGGGACUGAGACACGGCCCAGACUCCUACGGGAGGCAGCAGUGGGGAAUAUUGGGCAAUGGGCGCAAGCCUGACCUAGCAAUUCCGCGUGGGUGAAGAAGGUCUUCGGAUCGUAAAGCCCUCUCGGCGGGGACGAUGGUGACGGUACCCGCAGAAGAAGCCCCGGCUAACUUCGUGCCAGCAGCCGCGG
RNAcentral lists this ribosomal RNA (390 nucleotides) under uncultured bacterium. RNAcentral describes it as "bacterial SSU rRNA". It matches the Rfam family "Bacterial small subunit ribosomal RNA", at positions 97 to 520 of the family's 1533-position model. The record is from RNAcentral.